RNAcentral lists this unclassified non-coding RNA (1301 nucleotides) under Bombus terrestris (buff-tailed bumblebee). RNAcentral's name for it is "misc RNA ENSBTSG00005022385.1". Lineage: Eukaryota; Metazoa; Arthropoda; Insecta; Hymenoptera; Apidae. The record is from RNAcentral.
UCGCUCUUGCCCCGCAAAACUUGUUGAAAUUUCCUCAAAUACACUUUCGAAUCAUCCGAAUGACCAGACGAAUGAUAACGAGAAUACAGAAUACGCGACAGAGAAUAAUUGAAAAAUACGAAAAUAUACGAAAACAUAUGAAGAGCAACGUCAAUUUCGCAAAGUGUGAAACAUUCAAGGUGAGAGUUCGACAGGUGGGCUGGAUAAGUGGUCGCUGCAAAUCCAAUUUAUCGAACAUCGAAGACACGUGUACGAAACGGUACGAAACGUGUGAAAAGAAGAACGUUGGACAAAAUAAAUGAUAAAAAGAAAGGUGGGAGGGAAAUUGAGCGAAGUAGAACGAAAGACCUUGAUUUGCUGGCUGUACUUGAAACUUGUUAAUGGCUGGUAAUUAACGUGGCGAAUAAUCGUCGACUGUUCGUGAUGCGCCAUUCGAACGACAAAGGGGUCUAAUGAAACCAAGUUAAACUCUCUCUCGAGCGUCGAUUAUCUUUGAUCGUUCUAACUUGACAUCGAGCUUGAAGCAGCCAUUAGAAAAAUUGCCUCUAUCUCCAAUACGUUCGUUAAAUACCAUAAGUAGACUAGGCAUUUUUAUGUAUUUACGCGAAAUUUAAAUUGAUUUAAUCUUCUGAAAUUGAGAUGGUAGACGAUGAGAUUGUAAGAAAAGGAAGGAAAAAAUAAAGAAUGAACUGAUAUCUUUUUUUUUUUUUUUAGUAAGAGAUAAUGUAAAUUCUAUGCGAGAUACGAUAAAAGGAGUUAAAAAUUCGCGAGUAAUUUAUUUUAGCUUCUAACAUUAGAACGACGAAGUUCAGUUUCUUUCCUCUUUUUUACUAUUACUCAAAAUUACGUACAUAUGAGUUUUUAGAAAAAUUACUGUACUUAUUUAUAUAGUACCCAUUUCGCGUUAUCGUUAUACUACUUUAAUUAUAGUCAUCUGAGAGUAUAUUUAAAUAUACAUUAAGGAUUGAUUAUUCUAGUAUAAUACUAAGGUUAUAUGCGAUAGGAAGAUGGCAAAAGAUUAACUGCAUGAGCGAAUUAAUUAUUUUAAAAAGACCAAAACGUAAUAUACGAACAAACAGAUUUAAUUAAUCCAAUAGGUUUUCUAUAGUCCAUUCUCUGCCCAAAUCAAACCUGAGGAUACUAAACAUCGAAAAUCCAUAGCAUUCGUGUGAUAAAAUUAAUAGAAAUACGUUUGCUUCUAUCGAACAUCUUCGCUUAUUGGCACUGGAAAUUGUUUGCCAUUUUAACUUGUCAAUGGCGAUCGAAAUCAACUUAUCAAACAAUCAGACAAACGUGUUAAG